RNAcentral lists this unclassified non-coding RNA (657 nucleotides) under Rhizoctonia solani. RNAcentral's name for it is "sequence contains ITS1, 5.8S rRNA gene and ITS2". The stretch from base 202 to 355 matches the Rfam family "5.8S ribosomal RNA". The record is from RNAcentral. Lineage: Eukaryota; Fungi; Basidiomycota; Agaricomycetes; Cantharellales; Ceratobasidiaceae.
GAGCUAGGUCCUAAUUANCUUGGGGGCAUGUGCACACCUUUCUCUUUCAUCCCAUACACACCUGUGCACCUGUGAGACAGAUGUUUUCUAGGGGGGAAAGAAACUUAAUUGGACCUACUCUCUUGGACCUUCUGUAUACUUAAUAUAUAUAUACUGCAUUUAUUUUAAAAUGAGUGAAGUGGAUGUAACACUUCUAAUACUAAUUUUAAACAACGUAUCUCUUGUCUCUCGCAUCUAUAAAAAACCCAGAGAAAUGCGAUAAGUAAUGUGAAUUGCAAAAUUCAGUGAAUCCUCAAAUCUUUGAACGCCCCUUGCGCUCCUUGCUAUUCUUUGGAGCAUGUCUGUUUGAAUAUUGUGAUCUUCUCAGAGUCAAAACUUUUGAUAUCUCUUGUGGUUCUUUUUUGGUAUUGGAGGUCUAUUGCCUCUUCACCCCUGCUCCUCUUUGUGCAUUAUCUGAAUCUCAGUGUUAUGCUUGNCCCCUCUCAGCGAGAUAAGUUAUCUAUCCCUGAAGACACCCUGUUAAAAAGGGGUGCCCAGGGAAUUUGCAGAUGAACCGCUUCUAACAGCCCAUUGACUUGGACAAAUAUUAUUUUUAUGAUCUGCUCUCAAAUCAGGUAAGACUACCCGGUGAUCUUAAGCAUAUCUAUAAGCGGAAGA